GGAUGUUUAAGUCAGUUGUGAAAGUUUGCGGCUCAACCGUAAAAUUGCAGUUGAUACUGGAUAUCUUGAGUGCAGUUGGGGCAGGCGGAAUUCGUGGUGUAGCGGUGAAAUGCUUAGAUAUCACGAAGAACUCCGAUUGCGAAGGCAGCCUGCUAAGCUGCAACUGACAUUGAGGCUCGAAAGUGUGGGUAUCAAACAGGAUUAGAUACCCUGGUAGUCCACACGGUAAACGAUGAAUACUCGCUGUUUGCGAUAUACUGCAAGCGGCCAAGCGAAAGCGUUAAGUAUUCCACCUGGGGAGUACGCCGGCAACGGUGAAACUCAAAGGAAUUGACGGGGGCCCGCACAAGCGGAGGAACAUGUGGUUUAAUUCGAUGAUACGCGAGGAACCUUACCCGGGCUUAAAUUGCAGAUGAAUUACGGUGAAAGCCGUAAGCCGCAAGGCAUCUGUGAAGGUGCUGCAUGGUUGUCGUCAGCUCGUGCCGUGAGGUGUCGGCUUAAGUGCCAUAACGAGCGCAACCCUUGUUGUCAGUUACUAACAGGUUCCGCUGAGGACUCUGACAAGACUGCCAUCGUAAGAUGUGAGGAAGGUGGGGAUGACGUCAAAUCAGCACGGCCCUUACGUCCGGGGCUACACACGUGUUACAAUGGGGGGUACAGAGGGCCGCUACCACGCGAGUGGAUGCCAAUCCCCAAAACCUCUCUCAGUUCGGACUGGAGUCUGCAACCCGACUCCACGAAGCUGGAUUCGCUAGUAAUCGCGCAUCAGCCACGGCGCGGUGAAUACGUUCCCGGGCCUUGUACACACCGCCCGUCAAGCCAUGGGAGCCGGGGGUACCUGAAGUGCGUAACCGCGAGGAGCGCCCUAGGGUAAAACUGGUGACUGGGGCUAA
RNAcentral lists this ribosomal RNA (893 nucleotides) under uncultured organism. RNAcentral's name for it is "SSU rRNA". It matches the Rfam family "Bacterial small subunit ribosomal RNA", at positions 577 to 1484 of the family's 1533-position model. The record is from RNAcentral.